This 927-nucleotide ribosomal RNA is filed under the name uncultured archaeon. RNAcentral's name for it is "bacterial SSU rRNA". It matches the Rfam family "Archaeal small subunit ribosomal RNA", at positions 1 to 922 of the family's 1478-position model. The record is from RNAcentral.
UUCCGGUUGACCCUGCCAGAGGCCACUGCUAUUGGGGUUCGGCUAAGCCAUGCGAGUGGAGGGCGUCCCGCAAGGGAUGGCCCCGCAGACGGCUCAGUAACACGUCGUCAACAUACCCUGGGGUGGGGGACAACCUCGGGAAACUGAGGAUAAUCCCCCAUAGGUGGGGGAGGCUGGAAUGCGCCCCUGCUGAAAGCUCAGGCGCCCUAGGACGGGGCGGCGGCCUAUCAGGUAGUUGGUGGUGUAACGGACCACCAAGCCUACGACGGGUACGGGCUGUGAGAGCAGGAGCCCGGAGAUGGGGACUGAGACAAGGCCCCAGGCCCUACGGGGCGCAGCAGGCGCGAAAACUCCGCAAUGCGCGCAAGCGUGACGGGGGAACCCCAAGUGCCGCUGAUCUUUGAACGGCGGCUUUUCGGGAGUGCAGGGAGCUCCCGGAAUAAGGGCUGGGUAAGACUGGUGCCAGCCGCCGCGGUAAUACCAGCAGCCCAAGUGGUGGUCGCGUUUAUUGGGCCUAAAGCGCUCGUAGCCGGGCCGGUAAGUUCCCCGUGAAAUCGGGUCGCUCAACGAUUCGGCUUGCGGGGAAUACUGUCGGUCUUGGGGCCGGGAGACGCCGAGGGUACUCCGGGGGUAGCGGUGAAAUGCUGUAAUCCCUGGGGGACUACCAGUGGCGAAGGCGCUCGGCGAGAACGGGCCCGACGGUGAGGGGCGAAAGCUGGGGGAGCGAACGGGAUUAGAUACCCCGGUAGUCCCAGCCGUAAAGGAUGCGGGCAAGGUGCUUGUCGCUCUUCGAGGGCGCCAGGUGCCGUAGAGAAGUCGUUAAGCCCGCCGCCUGGGAAGUACGGUCGCAAGGCUGAAACUUAAAGAAAUUGGCGGGGGAGCACCACAAGGGGUGGGACCUGCGGUUCAAUUGGAGUCAACGCCGGA